GACAGAGGCCUCGAGCGUUAGGCGGAAUCACUGGGCUUAAAGCGUGUGUAGGCGGAUCGUUAAGUGUCUUGUGAAAUCCCACGGCUCAACCGUGGAACUGCUGGGCAUACUGGCGAUCUUGGGCCACCUAGGGGCAGUCGGAACAAACGGUGGAGCGGUGAAAUGCGUAGAUAUCAAGCAGAACACCUGUGGCGAAGGCGGCCUUCUGGACGAUGACUGACGCUGAGACACGAAAGCGUGGGGAGCAAACAGG
This 253-nucleotide ribosomal RNA is filed under the name uncultured bacterium. RNAcentral's name for it is "partial 16S ribosomal RNA". It matches the Rfam family "Bacterial small subunit ribosomal RNA", at positions 524 to 776 of the family's 1533-position model. The record is from RNAcentral.